Non-coding RNA from Triticum aestivum (bread wheat), 135 nucleotides. Lineage: Eukaryota; Viridiplantae; Streptophyta; Magnoliopsida; Poales; Poaceae. The record is from Rfam.
UUUGUACUCCCUCCGUCCCAAAAUUCUUGUCUUAAAUUUGUCUAAAUACGGAUGUAUCUAGUUACAUUUUAGUGUUAGAUACAUCCGUAUCUAAACAAAUGUAAGACAAGAAUUUUGGGAUGGAGGGAAUACUAC